Molecule: long non-coding RNA, 6496 nt
Organism: Physeter macrocephalus (sperm whale)
Lineage: Eukaryota; Metazoa; Chordata; Mammalia; Artiodactyla; Physeteridae
Exons: 3
Source: RefSeq, a predicted model, not a curated record
GGUUGAUAAAUAUACCUUUUCUGGUUUCAUUUAUUUUAAGAGAAUUUUUUCACCCCAUGACAGUCAUUUGGGGCUGACAGCGUUACCAUGGUAACCAUGCUCCACAAUGCUGGUUGCUGGUGAAUACUGGUCCUCAGCACCUCAGCACCUUUCACUACAGUGCUCACUCCCUUAUGGGAAGGGAAGCCUUGCUCACAGCACAUUUAGGUCAAGGAACCCACGCCCAGUGGCAGUUGGUACUAUAACAGAAACCUACUGGAUUUUCCUCCCAGGAACCAGUCUAAAGAUUCCAUUGAGAACGCUGGCUCAACCCAUAUCAUCAUGGCUUACAUUUCCAUUGUAACAGAUAGAGGCAAAACUUCUUUGUUUCCUUUUCGGCUGCACUGUGAGAGCUCAGAAGCUCAGUCAAUGCAACACCUAAUGCACUGAGGGAAAAUUUCGGUUGUGAAUGGACAUGCCUUCCCUAGAGGCAGAGAAGUUUGCAAACUACUUUUCAAAUCUCUCAUUGUAUGAUUUUGAAAUAAAAAUGCUUCUUUCCCGAGCGGGAAGGAGAGAUUUUACUCUGGGUGGUGCCCUGGGAAUCUGAUGAUGGAGCAUAGUCCAGGGCCGUCCUGGAGGUGAUGACUGUCAAGGCUCUGGCGGGGUGAUCUCUCUCGUGGUGAUCUGGAUGGGGUUGACCUCUCUUCUCCACAAACGGGGGAGAGCCUCUCCCCUUCAACAAGGUUUUGUGUAUGAGAAGCGGGGGUGGGGAGUGGAGCUUGUUAGAGAAAGCAGCUUUGAAAACUUCAUUCUCCUUGCCAAGAACUAAUGGACUGUCUUCAACGUGCAUGAAAUCUGUUCAGCAUGGUGACCAGGGGAGCCAAAAUGAGGCCUCCACAGACCUAACUGGGCGUCAGCCUACAUCUGUGUGAGAAGGUCUGGAUGUGUUUAUUUUAUUCUCUGCUGUAACUAAGAAAAAAACCAACAAAAACCCUGCGAAGGUUCAUUGAGACAACAGUUGGUCACAAAAAAGGAAUUUGAACCAAGAUAACGCUGGUUACAUUUUAUCCACAUGUUCCUGAAGCCUGCACUAACGGUUGAAUACGUAGCCUUUCACCAUUAGAUAAAAAAGUAACGGAAUCAGCCUAGUCUUUAGGAAAUUAAAGGAAUCUACAUACACACACAUAGAUAUCUUUUGAUAACUCAGGAACCACUGACAGAAUGAAAGGAUUCCUAGACCAAGUGAGACAUUUCACUUUCUGAUCAUCUUUGUCCCGUGUUGGGAGAGGCAAACGUGUGUUGGAGUGGAAACCCAGGGAGAAACUGCUCCCCUGUCAGUUGCAGUGACAGCCAGCCUUUGUGGAGCUCUAUGAGCCAGGCACUGUUCCUCAGCACUUUCCAGUAGGAUUUCACUGAAUGCUGAUUAACAGCCAUUUCAGGUGAAUGCAAUCAUAAUCCCCACUUUACUGUUGUGGCAAGUGAAGCACAGAGAACUUAAGUGACUUGCCCAACAUCACACAGCUAGUUGUACAGGACCUAUGCCUCUUGUGUAAAAUGAUAUGCACCCCCCGCCCAGCUUUGUGGCUCAAGGUCCUCGGAGCAAAAUGCUACAGCAGGAAGGGGAGAGGAAAUCUGGCUGUGGUAUACUGGAGGGGAAAAAACAAGGGAGGCUCUUAAAGUCUAGGCAAGGCAAUGUCUCCAAGGACAGUGCAAUUUCUCAUCAGUGAGCUAUUGGUCAGACUCCCCAGUCUCAGAGGCCUGUCCAGGGUUUCUGUGCUGCCAGGGUGACAUUGCUCAACCGCCUGUAGGGGAGCUGCAGCCCUGGAAAGAAGCCCAGGCUGUAGGGCUGCCGGUAUCUGGCUGGUCUUCUACUCCAAGAUAGAGGAGAAUGUCAUUCCUGGGUAAAUUUUUCUUCAAAUGACCUUUCUGAGAUAAGCCCUGUCCACCUUUCUGAGAUAAGCCCUGUCCAUUUCAGCAUCUGCCUUCCUCAGUAUGUCCUCUCCAGCACCAAAAAGGCAUGUCCUCUGAGAUCCAACCAGUUCCCCUGACAUCCUUGGGUACUGGUGACCGUGCUUCUAGAGGAGUGAAGUCACUCCCAGCAUUGCUUUUCCGUGGGGAUCCUGUCAUGCUGAUGGUGGUGUGACACCUGAGUACAGACUGGCUUUUCAGCAAGAUGCAUUUCUUUUUAGUUUAUGCUGCCAGUUUUCCCUGGAGAAUCAAGUUCUGUUUAAUCCAAGUGGGAAAUGUUUGGAAUGGUGAUGUCACUGUCUGUCAUUGGAAAUUAAAAAGCAGGGGGGACAUAUGCCAACACCUUCCCUUGGAAUUUCUUUACCUGACCUUUCAAUAUAGUAACAGAGUGUCUUAGAUCUCAAAUCUUUUCACCGUUUAUCACUUGGUCGUCAAGAUGAUGAAUGCUUCUGGCCCUAAAAUAUGCAUUAUUACAAUUCUUUGGUUUAAAAAUAUAUGGAUAGCUUUAAUAAAAGGGAUGACUGGAUCAAUUAAACUUUCUAAAUCCAAAGUCAAGCCCUCUUGGUUAAACCUAUAAUAUUGUGUCUCAUAGGUUUAGUUUUAAACCAAGGAUUUAAAGCAUAACCUAUCUGUUCCUCUGAGGAAUUUAACUUAAAAAAAAAUCCAAUUGGGGAUAAUUGUUCACAUCUGCCUAAUGAUGUUGCUAUUUGAAAAGACAUAAGAGAAUGUACAUUUUUGAGUUACAAUAGCUUUCAGUUUAUAAUUGAAAUAAAAAUGGGAAAAUUUAAUUUUAUAUGAGGACUCAAGGUAACACAUUUUUUUAGCAUUAUCAGACAUUGAUUUUUUUUUCUUAUUUUUUUCUGCUUUUGUGCAGGUGAUGUACAGAGGAGCAGAUGUGUUGCCUCUAGCAAGGCAAUAAUUCACUUCAUUAUUAUUGUUUGAUUUGCCUUGUGUGUGCUGUUCAUUGCUAACUGAGCCCUGUAGUGCUGUCCAUGGGAUCUGAAAUGUACAAGAACGGGUCAGAAGGCCUUGGGAGAACUGAAAAAGAAGUCAUUGCCCUGGCCUCAGUCACCUGUCCCCAGACAAAAAUCACACCCUGUCACCCAUGAAGAUUUGCAGACCAGCCCCCACUCAGCUGCUGUUUCUGACCAUAGUCCUUGCUGCCCUAGGCUCUUACCCAUGGGACCGAGAACGUUAAUGUCAGAAAGAAGUUAGAAACUGAUAUUGAAGAGCAGACCUGUGUUGGAAAGAACAUAGUUCAAGGGAGACUGGUGAAUGAAGAAGGGAAGAUCAAUGUGAUGGCUGGAGCUCUAGCUGCCACAUUGGACCAUGAAGUGAAUUCAAGAUGGAAGCCAUAUGCUAAGUAUGGCAGAACAAAAAGACAGAGGAAAGCUGGAACUUUGAUGACACUGUAGCUCCCAUACCAGCCAGAAUCCAGCCUUAUUUUGUAUGAGAGAGAAAUAAGCUUCUAUCUUAUUGAAACCACUGUUAUUUCCUCCUUCACCUGGGACAUCACAAGCCUAGGGAAUCUUUGGAAGGCUUUGACCAGAGUGAAAAAUUAGGGAUUUUAUUUGUUUGUCUUUUGGUGAUUGUGAAGAGCAGUCACUGUUGGGAACCCUGGAGCAAAUGCCAUCUAAGAUGCCUCGCGGGGCUCCAGUGUUUUCUGACUCCAAAGCCCCCUUAAGCAUAUUCUGCGCAGUUCCACACAACUCAGCCCAGAGGAGAUGGCGGCCCUCACCGUGAAGCCCCGUGAGAGAGUCGGCGUGUACCCCGGGGAGCAGCCAGCACGGCAGAGCGUGUGACUUGCGUGGCGUGUGGGAGAGGGCCCCGGGGCCGUGCCUGUUUCUUAGCUGGUUCUGCUUUGGAGCCAGUGAAUUGGCCUCGCCUGGGGCCAGCGGGACCUCGGCCCAGACGGUGACUGUCCACCGCCUUGUUCCCGACGGCCCCGGUCCUUCUCGCCAUCGUGCUGUGGCGUGGAACACCCGACACGCCUGCCCCAGGUCCGAGGAGCACGUCAGGAAUCCCACAAGCCUGCCUUGCAUCCUUGAGGCCGGCACCCUUCACGUGAGAUUUUGAAUGCAGUCAUGUGUCUCCAGCUGUCCCCGAGUCACAAAAAGUCCCCGUUCUAAUGAGGAGCUGUGGAAUGCUAAGGCUAAAGCUGCCUUGAGCUCUUCUUUCACAAGUUUCAAUCAUGGGUUAAUGCUGACGUGCUUUGGCUUUAGUAAAUGGGGAGGAGCCUUUUGUGUUUGUGAGAGGGCAGAGGCAGGAAUAAAUCGUGGCUCUCGGGGCUGACUUUGAUCCAGAAGUGUGUGUCUAGACUGCUUCUGAGUGGCAGGGAGAACAGGGGUGCGGUGGUCCAUGGCAGGACCCUCCCUGCCUGCUGGGCACCCAAGCAGGAGGGGGCAUGCACGGGUACGUGUGCAGGGGGGAGCGGGUGUGCCUCAGCUAACGGGGUCGGCCAGCACCUGCUCUCGCCAUGCACCAAUGACAGCCUAACGUUGCCAACACUUCUGCUUCUCUAGAGAAGUCGGAAGUCUCGGUGUUGCCUGAGUUCUCCCAAUGUUAACAUGAUGACACCUUGAAUUUACAAAAUUCCUCAGACCAAGAAAAUCACAACUUCUAGCCACAGUCUGAGACUCUGAGUAGAAAACCUGGCUCAGAGGACUGGUCUGGCUGUGCUCCAAUACUCUAUUCCCAAAAGAGCAGAACCCCCAAAGGAGGCUAUUAAGUCUUAAGAGCUAAAUCCAUCUCCUUGGUGAUUUCCUUGGUUGGAGGGGAAGGAAGUUCUCUGGCUUUCUAAGACCCUCGAAAUCCCCUUUCUUUACUGCUGUGUAACAACCCCGCUGCAGGGCCAGGGAUCGGCAGUGCUCACCUGCCCUCUGCCUCUAUCUGCCCCUGCUCCCAACAACCCCUAAUAACAUAGUCCACUCCCUGGACUUCCUUGGGUGUGACACCCAGUAUACAGACUGUAACACCAUCUCCUCUCCCACCUAGAAAAACACCCAAACCCAAGUAACAUGGGAGUAACUUAUGACAUGGACAACCUUGAUGUUUCAUUUAGUUUUUAAAGGUUAAUCACUUAUGCACUUUGGUACUCUAGCAGAAACAAUUUAUUCAUGACACACGCCCCAGUAGAUGAGUAGUGGCUCCAGAAUUUCUAUGUGGGAAAAUCUUAGGGGUGGCAUUUUGUUGGGAGCAAGGAAUAGCUAAAGGAUUUCUUCUAAAGCUACAUUCCAUAUCAAACUCUCUUUAUCCUCAAGUUGCACAUUUAUCUAAAAAACAAAGGAAACCUCCAGAAGCCAGGCUUUGGCCCUGCCAUUGUGGUGGGUCAGGACACAUGCAAGAGCAACAAUACAGGUAGGGACCCCCCUCCUUGAUAGGUAGAGGGUUAGGCAGAACAAAGUCCCAGAACAACCCAGGUGCAGCAUACGCCCCUAGUGCUCAACAAAGUAUUCAACUUGCGGCCAUCACCAAGAAGCCUACAAACAAUAAAUGCUGGAGAGGAUGUGGCGAAAAGGGAACCCUCCUACACUGUUGGUGGGAAUGUAAAUUGGUGCAGCCACUGUGGAAAAGAGUUAUGCUUCCUUAAAAAACUACCACAUGAUCCAACAAUUUCGCUCCCGGGUAUAUACCUGGAAAAAACGAAAACUCUAAUUCAAAAAGGUGCAUGCACUCCGACAUGCAAAGCAGCGCUGUUUACAAUAGCCAAUACAUGGAAGCAACUCAAGUGCCCAUCCACAGAAGAUUGGCCUAAGAUGUGGUAUAUGUACACUGUGGAAUAUUACUCAAGUAGCCAUAAAAAAGAAUGAAAUACUGCCAUUUGCAGCAACAUGGAUGGACCUAGAGAAUAUCAUUCUUAGUGAAGUAAGUUAGACAAAGAAAAGUACUAUAUGAUAUCAUUUAUAUGUGGAAUAUAAAAAAUAAAACAAAGGAAUUUAUGUACAAAACAGAAACAGACUAAAGCACAGAAAACAAACUUAUGGUUCACCAAAGGGGAGAGUGAAGGAGGGGGGGAGGGGCAAAUUAGCAAUAUGGGAUUAACAGAUACAAACUACUCUACAUAAAAUAGAUAAGCAACAAGGGUUUACCAUAUAGCACAGGGAAUUAUACCCAAUAUACUGUAAAAACCUAUAAUGGAAUAUAAUCUGCAAAAAAACAAACUCAAAUCACUUUGUUGUAUACCUGAAACUAACGUGAUACCAUAAAUCAACUAUACUUCAAUUAAAAAAAUAAUUAUAAGAAAAUAUUCAAUUUGGAGGCUGAGGAUUUUGAGCCUAAUCCCUGAAAGUGUCCUGAACCAAGAUGAUGUAUUCUUACCACCAGGCUGAGCCAUUCUGGAUAAAACCAAACCCACUCCUUGGCAAAGGUCAGCGGUGAUGUCAGUAACAUCUCAGACACCUACUCCCAUGGGAUCCUUCUACCAGGCAGCCAGAUGGCUCAUUAUGACCAAAACGCAGCCCUCCAGGUCCAGUCCCCUGGCUUGUGGGCAGCAGAUGGCCUGGGGGACAGGGACUCCCCAUUGCUCAGAGUGGAUCCCAGGGGAUCCUGC